This 446-nucleotide ribosomal RNA is filed under the name uncultured bacterium. RNAcentral describes it as "partial 16S ribosomal RNA". It matches the Rfam family "Bacterial small subunit ribosomal RNA", at positions 338 to 795 of the family's 1533-position model. The record is from RNAcentral.
CCUACGGGGGGCAGCAGUAGGGAAUUUUCGGCAAUGGGGGGAACCCUGACCGAGCAACGCCGCGUGAACGAAGAAGUUAUUCGUAAUGUAAAGUUCUUUUAACAGGGAAGAAAGAGAAAUUUGACGGUACCUGUAGAAUAAGCUCCGGCUAACUACGUGCCAGCAGCCGCGGUAAUACGUAGGGAGCGAGCGGUAUCCGGAAUUAUUGGGCGUAAAGGGUGCGUAGAUGGCAUAGUAAGUCUUUUGUAAAAAUGCUGGGCUCAACCCAGUAGGGCAAAAGAUACUGCAAAGCUAGAGUAUGGCAGAGGCAGGUGGAACUACAGGUGUAGCGGUAAAAUGCGUAGAUAUAUGGAAGAACACCAGUGGCGAAGGCGGCUUGCUGGGUCGAUACUGACAUUGAGGCACGAAAGCGUGGGGAGCAAACAGGAUUAGAUACCCUGGUAGUC